AUAGGGGAGCCGAAGGGAAACCGAGUCUUAACUGGGCGUUAAGUUGCAGGGUAUAGACCCGAAACCCGGUGAUCUAGCCAUGGGCAGGUUGAAGGUUGGGUAACACUAACUGGAGGACCGAACCGACUAAUGUUGAAAAAUUAGCGGAUGACUUGUGGCUGGGGGUGAAAGGCCAAUCAAACCGGGAGAUAGCUGGUUCUCCCCGAAAGCUAUUUAGGUAGCGCCUCGUGAAUUCAUCUCCGGGGGUAGAGCACUGUUUCGGCAAGGGGGUCAUCCCGACUUACCAACCCGAUGCAAACUGCGAAUACCGGAGAAUGUUAUCACGGGAGACACACGGCGGGUGCUAACGUCCGUCGUGAAGAGGGAAACAACCCAGACCGCCAGCUAAGGUCCCAAAGUCAUGGUUAAGUGGGAAACGAUGUGGGAAGGCCCAGACAGCCAGGAUGUUGGCUUAGAAGCAGCCAUCAUUUAAAGAAAGCGUAAUAGCUCACUGGUCGAGUCGGCCUGCGCGGAAGAUGUAACGGGGCUAAACCAUGCACCGAAGCUGCGGCAGCGACACUGUGUGUUGUUGGGUAGGGGAGCGUUCUGUAAGCCUGUGAAGGUGUGCUGUGAGGCAUGCUGGAGGUAUCAGAAGUGCGAAUGCUGACAUAAGUAACGAUAAAGCGGGUGAAAAGCCCGCUCGCCGGAAGACCAAGGGUUCCUGUCCAACGUUAAUCGGGGCAGGGUGAGUCGACCCCUAAGGCGAGGCCGAAAGGCGUAGUCGAUGGGAAACAGGUUAAUAUUCCUGUACUUGGUGUUACUGCGAAGGGGGGACGGAGAAGGCUAUGUUGGCCGGGCGACGGUUGUCCCGGUUUAAGCGUGUAGGCUGGUUUUCCAGGCAAAUCCGGAAAAUCAAGGCUGAGGCGUGAUGACGAGGCACUACGGUGCUGAAGCAACAAAUGCCCUGCUUCCAGGAAAAGCCUCUAAGCAUCAGGUAACAUCAAAUCGUACCCCAAACCGACACAGGUGGUCAGGUAGAGAAUACCAAGGCGCUUGAGAGAACUCGGGUGAAGGAACUAGGCAAAAUGGUGCCGUAACUUCGGGAGAAGGCACGCUGAU
RNAcentral lists this ribosomal RNA (1098 nucleotides) under Escherichia coli. RNAcentral describes it as "partial 23S ribosomal RNA". It matches the Rfam family "Bacterial large subunit ribosomal RNA", at positions 657 to 1755 of the family's 2925-position model. Lineage: Bacteria; Pseudomonadati; Pseudomonadota; Gammaproteobacteria; Enterobacterales; Enterobacteriaceae. The record is from RNAcentral.